This 466-nucleotide ribosomal RNA is filed under the name uncultured bacterium. Its description in RNAcentral is "partial 16S ribosomal RNA". It matches the Rfam family "Bacterial small subunit ribosomal RNA", at positions 28 to 507 of the family's 1533-position model. The record is from RNAcentral.
GAUGAACGCUGGCGGCGUGCUUAACACAUGCAAGUCGAACGAUGAAGCCCAGCUUGCUGGGUGGAUUAGUGGCGAACGGGUGAGUAACACGUGAGUAACCUGCCCUUAACUCUGGGAUAAGCCUGGGAAACUGGGUCUAAUACCGGAUAGGAGCGUCCACCGCAUGGUGGGUGUUGGAAAGAUUUAUCGGUUUUGGAUGGACUCGCGGCCUAUCAGCUUGUUGGUGAGGUAAUGGCUCACCAAGGCGACGACGGGUAGCCGGCCUGAGAGGGUGACCGGCCACAACGGGACUGAGGCACGGCCCAGGCCCCCUCGGGGAGCAAGAGUGGGGGAAAAUGCACAAUUGGGCAAAGCCUGAAGCAACGGACCCGCGUGGGGGAAUACCGCCUUUGGGGUUGUAACCUCUUUCCGUAAGGAAAAAGCGAAAGUGAAGGUUCCUUGCGAAGGAAGAACCGCUAAAUUCGUG